Molecule: long non-coding RNA, 502 nt
Filed under: Homo sapiens (human)
Lineage: Eukaryota; Metazoa; Chordata; Mammalia; Primates; Hominidae
Description: HSALNT0064222
Source: RNAcentral
CGGCAACUUUCUGCCCGCGGCAGCUGCUCAUUCACGCGUUUCUUAUAAGCCCAGGAGCCAAUCAGAGGCUGCGUCGGGAGGAAGUUGGAGCGCGGACAUGCCCCCUCUACGGUGUCCUUGCAAAGUGUGGCAGUCACUACAGGUUUGAGGAAGGCUCUGUCGCUGCUCUGGCCGUAGGCACAGCGGACUCUGGAGGACACUGGAAAUAAUAACUUUUUAUUGGAGAAACGUGUGGAUAUCACCUGAAAAAUUCUUUCAGCUCAAUGUGAGGUAACAAAGGCCCCAGUGAAGGAAUGCUAGAGCAUGUGAAAGCGGAGGACGCAUCCUCGAAGGACACCCGAGGAUGUCUAAAAGAAGCUCAGCGGGAAAGCUGAGCGCUCAGAAGAACGAGGGAGAUGAACAAACCGUGUGGAUGCCCUCAAGAUGUGUACAACUAUAGAACAGGAGAUGGGUACGACCAUAGAACAGGAGAUGGGAGGGUCCAACCAUGGACCGGGUUCCG